AUACAUGCAAGUCGAACGCGCAGCGAAAGGUGCUUGCACCUUUCAAGCGAGUGGCGAACGGGUGAGUAACACGUGGAUAACCUGCCUCAAGGCUGGGGAUAACAUUUGGAAACAGAUGCUAAUACCGAAUAAAACUUAGUAUCGCAUGAUACAAAGUUAAAAGGCGCUACGGCGUCACCUAGAGAUGGAUCCGCGGUGCAUUAGUUAGUUGGUGGGGUAAAGGCUUACCAAGACGAUGAUGCAUAGCCGAGUUGAGAGACUGAUCGGCCACAUUGGGACUGAGACACGGCCCAAACUCCUACGGGAGGCUGCAGUAGGGAAUCUUCCACAAUGGGCGCAAGCCUGAUGGAGCAACGCCGCGUGUGUGAUGAAGGCUUUCGGGUCGUAAAGCACUGUUGUAUGGGAAGAAAUGCUAAAAUAGGGAAUGAUUUUAGUUUGACGGUACCAUACCAGAAAGGGACGGCUAAAUACGUGCCAGCAGCCGCGGUAAUACGUAUGUCCCGAGCGUUAUCCGGAUUUAUUGGGCGUAAAGCGAGCGCAGACGGUUGAUUAAGUCUGAUGUGAAAGCCCGGAGCUCAACUCCGGAAUGGCAUUGGAAACUGGUUAACUUGAGUGUUGUAGAGGUAAGUGGAACUCCAUGUGUAGCGGUGGAAUGCGUAGAUAUAUGGAAGAACACCAGUGGCGAAGGCGGCUUACUGGACAACAACUGACGUUGAGGCUCGAAAGUGUGGGUAGCAAACAGGAUUAGAUACCCUGGUAGUCCACACCGUAAACGAUGAAUACUAGGUGUUAGGAGGUUUCCGCCUCUUAGUGCCGAAGCUAACGCAUUAAGUAUUCCGCCUGGGGAGUACGACCGCAAGGUUGAAACUCAAAGGAAUUGACGGGGACCCGCACAAGCGGUGGAGCAUGUGGUUUAAUUCGAAGCAACGCGAAGAACCUUACCAGGUCUUGACAUCCUUUGAAGCUUUUAGAGAUAGAAGUGUUCUCUUCGGAGACAAAGUGACAGGUGGUGCAUGGUCGUCGUCAGCUCGUGUCGUGAGAUGUUGGGUUAAGUCCCGCAACGAGCGCAACCCUUAUUGUUAGUUGCCAGCAUUCAGUUGGGCACUCUAGCGAGACUGCCGGUGACAAACCGGAGGAAGGCGGGGACGACGUCAGAUCAUCAUGCCCCUUAUGACCUGGGCUACACACGUGCUACAAUGGCGUAUACAACGAGUUGCCAACCUGCGAAGGUGAGCUAAUCUCUUAAAGUACGUCUCAGUUCGGACUGCAGUCUGCAACUCGACUGCACGAAGUCGGAAUCGCUAGUAAUCGCGGAUCAGCACGCCGCGGUGAAUACGUUCCCGGGUCUUGUACACACCGCCCGUCACACCAUGGGAGUUUGUAAUGCCCAAAGCCGGUGGCCUAACCUUCGGG
This 1413-nucleotide ribosomal RNA is filed under the name Leuconostoc holzapfelii. Its description in RNAcentral is "16S ribosomal RNA". It matches the Rfam family "Bacterial small subunit ribosomal RNA". The record is from RNAcentral. Lineage: Bacteria; Bacillati; Bacillota; Bacilli; Lactobacillales; Lactobacillaceae.